RNAcentral lists this ribosomal RNA (389 nucleotides) under Biecheleriopsis sp. RNAcentral describes it as "partial small subunit ribosomal RNA". It matches the Rfam family "Eukaryotic small subunit ribosomal RNA", at positions 582 to 975 of the family's 1831-position model. The record is from RNAcentral. Lineage: Eukaryota; Dinophyceae; Lophodiniales; Lophodiniaceae.
AUUCCAGCUCCAAUAGCGUAUAUUAAAGUUGUUGCGGUUAAAAAGCUCGUAGUUGGAUUUCUGCUGAGGAUGACCGGUCCGCCCUCUGGGUGAGUAUCUGGCUCAGCCUUGGCAUCUUCCUGAAGAACGUAUCUGCACUUGACUGUGUGGUGCGGUAUUUAGGACAUUUACUUUGAGGAAAUUAGAGUGUUUCAAGCAAGCGCACGCCUUGAAUACAUUAGCAUGGAAUAAUAAGAUAGGACCUCGGUUCUAUUUUGUUGGUUUCUAGACCUGAAGUAAUGAUUGAUAGGGACAGUUGGGGGUGCUAGUAUUGGCCGGCCAGAGGUGAAAUUCUUGGACUCGGUCAAGACUAACUUAUGCGAAAGCAUUCACCAAGGAUGUCUUCAUCG